UUUGUAGAGAUGAGGUCUCUCUAUGUUGUCCCGGCUGGCCUCAAGUGAUCUUCCUGCCUUGGCCUCCCAAAGUGCUGGGAUCACAGGCAUGAACCACACCCAGCUCAAUACUAAAAUCAAUAACCAAACAUUGAGAGCUGGCCUUGUGCCAAGCACUGUCAGACUGUUUACACAUAUUAUUCUAUUUAAUCAUCAUGAGAAACCCAUGACAUAGGAGCUCAUAUUAUCUUCAUUUCCUGAUGAGGAAACCUAGAUUUCCAAGACUUCAUAUCACAGUGCUCAUAAGAGUAGAUCCUGGAUUCAAGGUCUUACUGCUCCUGAAGCCUGUUUAUUUAUCCACAGGAUACUCUCCUGAUAUACCACGAUGCAGAAUGUCAAGUAGGAAAAGAAGCUGUUGCAUUGGGCAAUUAAGAAGUCAUUGGUGAGAGAAGUUUCAGUCUGAAGUGGAAUCAUAGUAAAUUACAGAAAAAUAGUCUUUGGAGAGAGAAGGAAUCUGGUUAAUCCACAGGCCACACAAUCAUGGUUGAAAAUUAGUGAAUGAGCGAAUGAUGGAUCCAUCUCUUGAAGCAAUACUUGAAUCGCAGAAUUCUUAUAUUGAUAGAAGCAGAAGGAAACCAGAAGUGCUCCAAUUAAAGGCCUCCAUUUUUCAGAUCAGCAGACUAUGAGCCAUGCAUAGGAUCACACACAGUCCCUUUCAGGAAGCUACUCC
Molecule: long non-coding RNA, 709 nt
Filed under: Homo sapiens (human)
Lineage: Eukaryota; Metazoa; Chordata; Mammalia; Primates; Hominidae
Description: non-protein coding LINC01517:35
Source: RNAcentral